RNAcentral lists this ribosomal RNA (492 nucleotides) under uncultured bacterium. RNAcentral's name for it is "partial 16S ribosomal RNA". It matches the Rfam family "Bacterial small subunit ribosomal RNA", at positions 29 to 507 of the family's 1533-position model. The record is from RNAcentral.
AGUGAACGCUGGCGGUAGGCCUAACACAUGCAAGUCGAACGGCAGCACAGUAAGAGCUUGCUCUUACGGGUGGCGAGUGGCGGACGGGUGAGGAAUACAUCGGAAUCUACUUUUUCGUGGGGGAUAACGUAGGGAAACUUACGCUACUACCUCAUACGACCUACGGGUGAAAGUAGGGGAUCUUCGGACCUUUCGCGAUUGAAUGAGCCGAUGUCGGAUUAGGUAGUUGGCGGGGUAAAGGCCCACCAAGGCGACGAUCCGUAGCUGGUCUGAGAGGAUGAUCAGGCAGACUGGAACUGAGACACGGUCCCGACUCCUACGGGAGGCAGCAGUGGGGAAUAUUGGAGAAUGGGCGCAAGCCUGAUCCAGCCAUACCGCGUGGGUGAAGAAGGCCUUCGGGUUGUAAAGCCCUUUUGUUGGGAAAGAAAAGCAGCAGUUUAAUACCCCGCUGUUCUGACGGUACCCAAAGCAUAAGCACCGGCUAACUUCGUG